Molecule: ribosomal RNA, 546 nt
Filed under: uncultured bacterium
Lineage: Bacteria
Description: bacterial SSU rRNA
Rfam family: Bacterial small subunit ribosomal RNA
Source: RNAcentral
AGGGUUUGAUCCUGGCUCAGAUUGAACGCUGGCGGCAUGCUUUACACAUGCAAGUCGAACGGUAACAGGCCGCAAGGUGCUGACGAGUGGCGAACGGGUGAGUAAUGUAUCGGAACGUGCCCAGUCGUGGGGGAUAACGCAGCGAAAGCUGCGCUAAUACCGCAUACGAUCUAUGGAUGAAAGCGGGGGACCGUAAGGCCUCGCGCGAUUGGAGCGGCCGAUAUCAGAUUAGGUAGUUGGUGGGGUAAAGGCUCACCAAGCCAACGAUCUGUAGCUGGUCUGAGAGGACGACCAGCCACACUGGGACUGAGACACGGCCCAGACUCCUACGGGAGGCAGCAGUGGGGAAUUUUGGACAAUGGGCGCAAGCCUGAUCCAGCAAUGCCGCGUGCAGGAAGAAGGCCUUCGGGUUGUAAACUGCUUUUGUACGGAACGAAACGGUCCUGGUUAAUACCUGGGGCUAAUGACGGUACCGUAAGAAUAAGCACCGGCUAACUACGUGCCAGCAGCCGCGGUAAUACGUAGGGUGCAAGCGUUAAUCGGAAU